GCGGACAGAAUGUGCCUCAAUAGUUGGAAGCUCAAAUGAGCCCCAGCCGGGAACAUCUUCACAACAGCUAUGACCUUUGGGAACAUUUUGAUCUCGAAGUGGGGAGGCAGACCAAAAGUGCCACAGCUGAUGCCAUCCUUGAGGUGCAGAGAUACAUGGCAGAGGGCAAUAUUGCGAGGUCCCAGGAUCCUCUUGUA
This is a long non-coding RNA of Cyprinodon tularosa, 197 nucleotides long. RefSeq lists it as uncharacterized. The record is from RefSeq and is a predicted model, not a curated record. The transcript has 2 exons. NCBI's taxonomy places the organism in Eukaryota, Metazoa, Chordata, Actinopteri, Cyprinodontiformes, Cyprinodontidae.